RNAcentral lists this ribosomal RNA (440 nucleotides) under Salmonella enterica subsp. enterica serovar Newport. RNAcentral's name for it is "bacterial SSU rRNA". It matches the Rfam family "Bacterial small subunit ribosomal RNA", at positions 1075 to 1515 of the family's 1533-position model. The record is from RNAcentral. Lineage: Bacteria; Pseudomonadati; Pseudomonadota; Gammaproteobacteria; Enterobacterales; Enterobacteriaceae.
UUGGGUUAAGUCCCGCAACGAGCGCAACCCUUAUCCUUUGUUGCCAGCGAUUAGGUCGGGAACUCAAAGGAGACUGCCAGUGAUAAACUGGAGGAAGGUGGGGAUGACGUCAAGUCAUCAUGGCCCUUACGACCAGGGCUACACACGUGCUACAAUGGCGCAUACAAAGAGAAGCGACCUCGCGAGAGCAAGCGGACCUCAUAAAGUGCGUCGUAGUCCGGAUUGGAGUCUGCAACUCGACUCCAUGAAGUCGGAAUCGCUAGUAAUCGUGGAUCAGAAUGCCACGGUGAAUACGUUCCCGGGCCUUGUACACACCGCCCGUCACACCAUGGGAGUGGGUUGCAAAAGAAGUAGGUAGCUUAACCUUCGGGAGGGCGCUUACCACUUUGUGAUUCAUGACUGGGGUGAAGUCGUAACAAGGUAACCGUAGGGGAACCUGC